UGUGUGUCGUAGUUAACGCGUUAAACAGGGCGCCUGGGAAGUACGGCCGCAAGGCUAAAACCCAAAGGAAUUGACGGGGACCCGCACAAGCAGUGGAGCGCCUGGUUUAAUUCGAUGGUCAGCGAAGAACCUCACCUAGGCUUGAACUGUAGCUGCACGCUCCCAGAAACGGGAGAAUCCUUCGAGGGUGCUACAGAGGUGCUGCAUGGCUGUCGUCAGCUCGUGUCGUGAGAUGUAGGGUUAAGUCGCACAACGAGCGCAACCCCUAUUCAGUGUUAUAAUUACUCUGAAGACUGCCCUGUCCACACGGGGAGGAAGGAGGGGACGACGUCCAGUCAUCAUGUCCCUUAUGUCUAGGGCUACACAGACGCUACAAUGGCCGGUACAAUGGGUUGCCAAACCGCGAGGUGGAGCCAAUCCCAUCAAAGCCGGUCCCAGUUCGGAUUGCAGUCUGCAACUCGACUGCAUGAAGUUGGAAUUGCUAGUAAUCGCGAAUCAGCACGUCGCGGUGAAUACGUUCUCGGGUCUUGUACACACCGCCCGUCAGGGCACGGGAGUCGCUCUUGCUCGAAGUUCC
RNAcentral lists this ribosomal RNA (577 nucleotides) under uncultured organism. Its description in RNAcentral is "bacterial SSU rRNA". It matches the Rfam family "Bacterial small subunit ribosomal RNA", at positions 840 to 1430 of the family's 1533-position model. The record is from RNAcentral.